GUGGAGUAGGGAAACGUGUGCUUGCCAGACACCCUGACUUCCCAUUAUUGCACAGAUAGAUCUUCAGCAUCGACAGAAAGCCCGAAGCCCUCUCCACAUAGGAAAAUGGAUGAGAAGCAUUUUCUCUGCUCUCAGAGAGAAGCUGUGCUUUCCAAAGACUCCUAUUCAAGCUCUCACUCUGUCAUAUUAGAUGUGGAAUAUCAGCAAUAUGCUGAGUGAUACUUCCUGACAACCCUGGGCAGUGGCACUCACCCAGCUCCCUGUCAGCCGGAUGAUCACCAGGGCAAACUUACCAAGACUUUAUGGUGAACUGCAUAGCUAAAGUGUGAUGUUUGGUUGAAAAGUGCUUCCAACAUCAGUACAAGACCGACCAACCAAAAACAUUUCUUCUGCUAACCUGGGAAAUUGACUGAAGAUAAGAUAUGAAAUCUCACCAGAAUACUUCCUGGCCCACUGUUAUCAAAAGCUCAUCUAAUGAAGCAGAUGCUCAGGAGCCCAUGACCAUUGGCAAUUAGUCAACUAUCAAGUCAAAAUUGGAGGCACCAAAAAAGCAGAAUGAACAGAAGAAGAAUGCUCUGUGGGUCAUAACCCCUACCUCUGAAGAAUAUAGGAAAAGCAGUGGGCUUUUAGAUAUCAAGUCACUUGAAUUUAUGGCCAUCAAUAGAAAAGACUUUCCUCAGAGACAUCAUUUAUAGAGUUGAAAAAGGUGAAAACUGCAGAGCAUUUUGCUCUUCAUAUUCAAGCAUGAAAUGGAUAUUCAAGGACAGCUUGCCCACAAAUGCAGAACCUGGGAACCAGAAUAUGCUAUGAACUAUUGACUGAAUGCUACA
Long non-coding RNA from Fukomys damarensis (Damara mole-rat), 830 nucleotides. RefSeq lists it as uncharacterized. The transcript is spliced from 4 exons. NCBI's taxonomy places the organism in Eukaryota, Metazoa, Chordata, Mammalia, Rodentia, Bathyergidae. The record is from RefSeq and is a predicted model, not a curated record.